This 136-nucleotide ribosomal RNA is filed under the name Vibrio cholerae O1 str. EM-1727. RNAcentral's name for it is "partial 16S ribosomal RNA". The record is from RNAcentral. Lineage: Bacteria; Pseudomonadati; Pseudomonadota; Gammaproteobacteria; Vibrionales; Vibrionaceae.
CGAAAUUGAUUCUCGCUAAAAUGGCCGCCUCUUCUGAAGCAGACCGCCAAGAAGAACGCUCUUUAACAAUAUAAACCAAUCAAUCUGUGUGGGCACUCGUUGAUGAUAAUCAAAAAAGAUUUAUCAAUGAACUGAG